UACACCAUUCUACGCCUGUCUUUUCAACAACUCCCCUCUUGUAUAAGGUAUAGAAAAAAGAAAGAGAGAGAGAACCCCCUACUAGCCACUAGGUUUGGUUUCUCUUUGGCAGAGAUUCGUGGAGAUCUUCAUUCAUACAUCGCUUUCCCUUUUGCUCUGACUCUUAGGCCGAGAGUGACACUACACUCUACUUAAGCUAAUAUAACCAAUACUACCUCUCCAUCUUCCGGGAUUCUUGCUUACUCUUUCCCCUUUCUACCAUUGUUUUCCCUUCUUUUUUUCUUCCAUUUGUCUCGUUUUCUUCAGAACACUUGCAUGGUUCAUCGAUUGUCCAACUUGGGAUUUUCUUAGGGGAGUGGAGAAGAAGUCUUCUUUGUUUUCGUUGUUAUAAAUAUUUCGCUGAUCAUACGUUUAUCUGUUUUGGAUAUAUAUUAGUGAGUUUUAUACUGUCAUUGCUUUUACUAUUUGACGUUAAAGAGAGUUGGUCACUGCUUCAGGAGUAUCUUUCCUUGCUUCACCGGAUCAUCAAUUAACAGGGUUCGGAUUUCAAGAGUCAAAUCAGUUGCUGCUUUCCAAAUGUGAAGUCCAUUGAUCUCGAAUCAUAAGCAUCAAUGUAAGGAGAAUUUCUACUCUCAUUAUCUCCAAAAUCACCACACAUUUUUUAUCUACCCAAUUUGUUUUUGAUUAGAUCUACCAAAAUAUCUUCUUAUAGAAAACUGAGAAGAAUAUGAAAAUGUUUGGGCACAUAGCACUGCUUAUUUGCUCAUUUGAGUUUUGAGCCUCUUAGAAAUUUGUUUGUGAUUUACCUCUUACAUUAAUUUAAUUCGGUAUUGAACGGUUUAAGAGAGCUUCCUUCAGUCCACUCAUAGGUGGAUGAAGGGAUUUGGAUUAGCUGCCGACUCAUUCAUUCAAACACAGUAGAAAUCAUAUAUGUAUUUCUAUACGCUACUGUGAAUGUGUGAAUGAUGCGGGAGGUAAAUUCAUCCCUUUUUAUCUGUGCUUGGACUGAAGGGAGCUCCCUUUUGCCUUUUUCUUUACUUUCCUUUUCUUUUGAUCCAACUGCUAAUCGUCCCUCUAGAUAUAGUGGAUCAUACUAAUUAAGGAUUGAAGCAUGUUUGAUUUUUGUUUUUCUUUUUGUGUAAUAGUGUAGGGUAUUUGUGACAAGCAUGUGACCUGCUUCUAUACUUUUUCUUUACUACUUUCAAAUUUGUGAUUCAUUUUGGUAAUAAGCUGUGUUUUGGGUUUUGUUGCGAGAUGAGUAAGAUCCAAAUAGAUUUUUUCCUUGUAAAAUCAUCAAAGGUGUUGAACUUUGGACUUAAGAUUUUACACUAGUUGUAAUUUUUUUAAAUGUUUUUAACCAAGGUGGCUAACAUUUUGAUUUGAUACCCACUUUUAUUCAAUUGAUGAGCACUUGCAACUUGUUUAGUUAAACUUGCAAGGUGGGAAAUAGCUCGCCCUCUUAUUAGUUGGAAUCCAAAUUUGAGAUAUACUUUUAGGUGAUCAGCACUUGCUGUGAUUGUUCUUCUGCAGAAUUGGUUUAAGCAUAUGAGAAAAGUUCUAAUUACUCAUAUGGGCUGUUGCCUUCCUCUCCUUCCCCACUAAAUGACAUUUAGUUAGAAGGAUGAGAGUUUUGUGUUAACACUAUAACUUCAUUUGAAAAUCCAUCAAAUGAAAAUGCUGCACUUUCUUACCUGUUUCUCAGCCAUAUAUUGCUCUUGUGAUGUACCCACUUUUCUCCCUCUUCAGCAGGUGAAAACCCUCGUUCUCUUCUUGGAAAUUAAACACUUUGUGCAGCCUUCUCACUUCUCCUUCCAAGCUUCUUCUCGACUCUAAAAUGUACAAAGCCAUGAAUGCAAUUGAGUAAUGGCUUCUUGUUUUUACACAUUUUCUCCUGUUUUCUUUUAUAUUCUUUUCUGGAAAUCAAGAUUUGGGUCUGUUUGGAGAAUAUUCCAUUGAAGUUGAAAAAAAAGAUUUUUGAAGUUGAAUGUGUGUAAAAAUGAAUUUCAAUAAAGUUAGAAGUUUUGUGACUUGAUAUAUUAUUCGAAUCAUUUUUUCUACGUCAGAUUUUCUAUUCCAAGUUUUAAUUUGAGAUAAUAGAUAAAACUGUACGUUAAAUUACAAAGAAUACUUAAAUUAUUUGCAAAAAAUAUGUAUGUUCAAAUGCCUACUAAGUAGUAGUGCAUUAGAUGGCAUUGGAACUUGUAACUAAUUUAAUGCCUACUAUUUUAUUUAAGUAUGUUGACAUUCGUGAGUUUUUUCAUUGAACAUAACAUUUUAAGGGGUGGUUUUGUUAAUGUAUUUGUCCAUCACCAUGCUUGAAAUAUUAAAAUGAUUAAAUAUUAAUCAUCAGUAUCAGUGUGAUAAGCCUAAAAAGGACUAGGAGCUGCCGCCUAUCCUCUCAAAUGAGCGGCUUUCUUUACUCUCGGAAUGUGUUUUCCUUUAGGUUACAAUCUAACUUUUCCUUCCCUUUAAACCAUAAAAACAAAAGUUGCAAUGCUGCACUUCUUUUCUGGAGAUUAACUCUUUUAUCGAGUAAUAUAUUGAAUGAAAAAUCAUUAAACAAUUUCUGACGUUUGUACUUGUGCUUGUGCGUAAAGUACUCAUGUGAAGAUUCUAAGUUAUUGAGUUUAUUAGUUUUAAAAAAGGAGUUCAUUGUGUAGUUCGAGAAUGGGGAAGUACUACUAUGUCUCUUGUUUUUAUUGUGAUUUGGAGUAAUGGCCAUGUUUUGUUAUUUUCAA
Nicotiana tabacum (common tobacco) is the source of this 2738-nucleotide long non-coding RNA. RefSeq lists it as uncharacterized. The record is from RefSeq and is a predicted model, not a curated record. Lineage: Eukaryota; Viridiplantae; Streptophyta; Magnoliopsida; Solanales; Solanaceae.